RNAcentral lists this transfer RNA (73 nucleotides) under Bacteroidetes bacterium ADurb.Bin057. Its description in RNAcentral is "tRNA-Arg". It matches the Rfam family "tRNA". Rfam says of the family: Transfer RNA (tRNA) molecules are approximately 80 nucleotides in length. Their secondary structure includes four short double-helical elements and three loops (D, anti-codon, and T loops). Lineage: Bacteria; Pseudomonadati; Bacteroidota. The record is from RNAcentral.
GCACCCGUAGUUUAAUGGAUAGAAUGAGGGAUUCCGGUUCCCUUGGUUACGGUUCGAUUCCGUACGGGUGUAC